GAUGAACGCUGGCGGCGUGCCUAAUACAUGCAAGUCGAGCGAACAGACGAGGAGCUUGCUCCUCUGACGUUAGCGGCGGACGGGUGAGUAACACGUGGAUAACCUACCUAUAAGACUGGGGUAACUUCGGGAAACCGGAGCUAAUACCGGAUAAUAUAUUGAACCGUAUGGUUCAAUAGUGAAAGACGGUUUUGCUGUCACUUAUAGAUGGAUCCGCGCCGCAUUAGCUAGUUGGUAAGGUAACGGCUUACCAAGGCAACGAUGCGUAGCCGACCUGAGAGGGUGAUCGGCCACACUGGAACUGAGACACGGUCCAGACUCCUACGGGAGGCAGCAGUAGGGAAUCUUCCGCAAUGGGCGAAAGCCUGACGGAGCAACGCCGCGUGAGUGAUGAAGGUCUUCGGAUCGUAAAACUCUGUUAUUAGGGAAGAACAAAUGUGUAAGUAACUAUGCACGUCUUGACGGUACCUAAUCAGAAAGCCACGGCUAACUACGUG
RNAcentral lists this ribosomal RNA (497 nucleotides) under uncultured bacterium. RNAcentral's name for it is "partial 16S ribosomal RNA". It matches the Rfam family "Bacterial small subunit ribosomal RNA", at positions 28 to 507 of the family's 1533-position model. The record is from RNAcentral.